Molecule: long non-coding RNA, 1419 nt
Organism: Peromyscus eremicus (cactus mouse)
Lineage: Eukaryota; Metazoa; Chordata; Mammalia; Rodentia; Cricetidae
Exons: 2
Source: RefSeq, a predicted model, not a curated record
UAGAUAUAAUUUGAUUCCUUUAGGAGUUUUAUGUAAAUAGACUAAAACAAAAGGAAAAACAUUUUUCUUGGCUCCGGUGAACACCUGCAUCCUGACAUCUAAAAUUGGCCACUGCAAGCAAAUCUGUUUCAAUGUUCCGCCUCGGGUGUGCUGCUGCGAGUGACAAUAGCCAUCUCCAGGAAGUUGUUGUUUUAAGGAGAUUUUCCUUGUAAACGACAAAGACUCUGGAAGGUAUUUAACAGCUCUCCAGGAGCAACGUGAAGCAGCCACAUCCUCACCUUACGAAAGAACUGGACAUGAGUCCGAUGAAGCCCACGGCAGCGCCCACGACGGCUGUUUUCCGGCAGCCGAACAUGUCCGUGAAGACGCUGACUAUGGGGCAGCAGAAGAAGAUCAUGCCCAUGGACAGCGAGCCUACCCACGCUGCAAAAGAAGAGAGAGCGUCACAAGUCGAACACUGCACUCCCCUCCCCGCAUUCCGUCUGGAAAGUGGCUAACCCACGGCGAGGAAAAGCCCUGACGCACACGGACAACCAGCGGGAACGCUGUAACAAGAUGGCAAGAGUCUGAACACCUCAAGUGCUUGGCCAGUAGUGAUUCGUACAGCAAUGGAAUAAAGAAGACUGUAAUCCUAAAACACUGUGUGUGCUGGGACCAAACCGGUCCUCUGAGAGAGCACAGAGCAUCUCCCCAGCCUGCUGCCUUAUUUUUUCAGCACCAACAUCAGCACUAUGCUGAAGAGAACAUCUCCAGCGAAUACAAAGAGCAACAUGGACCCACAUUAACUAAACAGGACGACACCACAGGAUAGUCUGCCAGACAGUCAGGGUACCUGCUCUAUUCAAACCGGAGCCUAAACCAAGAAAAACAUCUGCUAAGGAUGAGCGCAGAACGAACACUGGCGGAGGGUCUGGAGGAGGGAGACGGCUGACUGGAGAGCAGGUAUUGGCAUCAUCGGAGAGGGUGAGAGCGGAGCUGAAGGGACAGAAGACUCAGUCUGCAGAUAGCACGAGAGAGGGAGCUCUGUGGAAACUCGAGGACAACUUCUCAAAGCUGUUUUUACUAAGUAGUUUGUGAAUGCUAAUUUUUAGGACUCUACUAAUUGGAUUACCCAUACAUACAUUCUCUCUGAGUCAUUUUUUUUUUUUUGAAAUUUCCAUCAUCCUUAAGUAAAAUAAAUGUUGAUUUAAUGUUGUAAGCCACACAUAAUGCUGAUUCAGCAUUCCAUAUAUGUGCUUUAAAGUUUUAGUCUGGUGCAUACUGUGGUAUUUUUACAGUACAUAUUUGAAUUUUUCAUGGUUUUUCUGGAGCAAAAAUCUGUGAUUUUUACCUAGAUUUUAUGUGAUUUUAAUGAAACAUGGGUAAUCAUGGCCACCUGCUAAUUAUUUAUGGUUUAAAAUAAAAGGUAUUUGCUAGGCA